RNAcentral lists this ribosomal RNA (449 nucleotides) under uncultured bacterium. RNAcentral's name for it is "bacterial SSU rRNA". It matches the Rfam family "Bacterial small subunit ribosomal RNA", at positions 329 to 794 of the family's 1533-position model. The record is from RNAcentral.
AUCCAGACUCCUACGGGAGGCAGCAGUGGGGAAUAUUGCACAAUGGGGGAAACCCUGAUGCAGCGACGCCGCGUGAGUGAAGAAGUAUUUCGGUAUGUAAAGCUCUCUCAGCAGGGAAGAUAAUGACGGUACCUGACUAAGAAGCCCCGGCUAACUACGUGCCAGCAGCCGCGGUAAUACGUAGGGGGCAAGCGUUAUCCGGAUUUACUGGGUGUAAAGGGUGCGUAGGUGGCAUGGCAAGUCAGAAGUGAAAGCCCGGGGCUCAACCCCGCGGACUGCUUUUGAAACUGUCAGGCUGGAGUACAGGAGAGGUAAGCGGAAUUCCUGGUGUAGCGGUGAAAUGCGUAGAUAUUAGGAGGAACACCAGUGGCGAAGGCGGCUUACUGGACUGUAACUGACACUGAGGCACGAAAGCGUGGGGAGCAAACAGGAUUAGAUACCCGCGUAAA